GUGGGGAAUAUUGGACAAUGGGGGAAACCCUGAUCCAGCCAUGCCGCGUGUGUGAAGAAGGCCUUUUGGUUGUAAAGCACUUUAAGCGAGGAGGAGGCUACCGAGAUUAAUACUCUUGGAUAGUGGACGUUACUCGCAGAAUAAGCACCGGCUAACUCUGUGCCAGCAGCCGCGGUAAUACAGAGGGUGCAAGCGUUAAUCGGAUUUACUGGGCGUAAAGCGCGCGUAGGUGGCCAAUUAAGUCAAAUGUGAAAUCCCCGAGCUUAACUUGGGAAUUGCAUUCGAUACUGGUUGGCUAGAGUAUGGGAGAGGAUGGUAGAAUUCCAGGUGUAGCGGUGAAAUGCGUAGAGAUCUGGAGGAAUACCGAUGGCGAAGGCAGCCAUCUGGCCUAAUACUGACACUGAGGUGCGAAAGCAUGGGGAGCAAACAGGAUUAGAAACCCGUGUAGUCC
RNAcentral lists this ribosomal RNA (451 nucleotides) under uncultured bacterium. RNAcentral describes it as "partial 16S ribosomal RNA". It matches the Rfam family "Bacterial small subunit ribosomal RNA", at positions 354 to 796 of the family's 1533-position model. The record is from RNAcentral.